UAGAAGUCUUCAAAUUANCUAUAACGUGUCCAACAAACUACGAAAUCAAAAAGCAUUUUCAAUCGGUUUAUACCAUUUCCAAGUUUAGGGAAGUCCAGGAUGAAUUCAAGGGUAAGGUAUACCGUGAUCUCAUAUCUGCUUCUGAGGGACCUCAUGGGACCACGUAUGCGGUGCGUGAGGAUGUCCUUUAUGGUGAGCAGAGGAAGAAGAAAAUGUUCUCUGUCUCAUUCCAGAGAGAGACAGCUGACUUCGUAUGCAGUUGUCACUUGUUCGAGUUUCGAGGUAUUGUUUGCAAACAUGCGAUCGCGAUAUUGAUUCGUAAUGACGUCACGCAGUUGCCCGAGCAUUAUACACUAUGGCGGUGGAGGAGGGACGCUAGCAGGAGUUACACAAGGGUUGCGGUGAAUUAUGAUGGUUAGGUCAGUUUUCCUAGACAGUUGAGGUACGAUAGUAUGUGCAAAGCUUUUGCAAAGGUAGCUGACCUUGCAGCAGAGGACGAGGGCCGGACACGUGCAAUAUUAGACUGGAUAAAAUUGCAAGCAAAGGAGCUUAUGACAAGAAAUUCCUGUGAUGCAAGUAAUAGCGUGAUGCAACAAACUAUACCGUUAUCCUCUCAGUGUAUGCCAUCCCAAACUACUACGAACGACGUCAUACUAGACCCAAACGUUGCAAAGAGGAAGGGGGCACCCCGAAGACUUUGAAAAAAAAGUCCAUUAGAGUUGAUGUCCAAGAAACCACGGGUUUGUUCAUCGUUUUCCAUCUCUAUUUGUCAAAAGUUGUGAAUUUGUAUUGCAAUUUAAUUAUCUUUUGCAUGUAGGCAUCUUCGACGUCAAGCAAAGGAAAGAGACCGAGACCGAGGUACGAUAAUGAAGAAGAGGUUGCAUCUGAAUUUGUAGCUUCGCAAGAACAAUAUUCGUCACAGACACUGUUCUCCUAUUCACAACUAUUGCUGGUAAGUAUCGUCAUAUAGUUCAACUAUUUGUUGUAGGUGUUACUUAAGGUCUUUUUUUUUUGUUUUACGUAGGGCGACUUUGAAAUGUAUGCAUGUACAUGACCAUUGACAACAUCGGAUGUUAUCCCACCAAGUGUCAUAUUCGGUCCACAAGGUAAGGCCAAGGAUAAUUCAUGACAUUUGUAUAGAAUUUCUUAUAAUAGGUGGAUAAUUUUUGUAUUGUUGAACAGGUCAUCCGUUUCCCUACUAUUACACACAUAUGCCGCCAUAAGGUGGUCCAACCAUAUGACUUUUAGAAAGGUUCAGUAGUUAUUUUGUGGUAGGAGGAGUAAUGUUAUUUAUGUGUAAGCCUUCCAUUUUGUCCCCACUUCAUUGUUUAAUAAUUUAGUGUAAUUGAAUGUGCAGCCGGUGAAAUGCCCCAUUACUGUCUGCGGUGGUGAUUUUGAAGGGAGGUUUUGGGAAGAUGUGAUUACUCAUAAUCUACUUCCUUUUUUGGAUUUUGGAUGUAAGGGAACCUAACUUAGCUAUUUAAAGCUGGGUGAACAGGUAUUAAAUGUAUGCUUAAAUUGGUUUUUUGAAAUCUGUUGCUUCAAUUUGGGCCAUAACAUGAAUGAAAUCUAAUUUGGUAGCUAUAUGUUUAAUUCUCCUUUGCUAGGAAAUUUGUUAUUCAGGUUCUAUGGCACUGCAUUUUUUAAGAGAAUUUGAGAAUUAUAAUGCAGUCAUUAUGGUCUAAUCUUUUAAGUUCUUACAGUAGCUAAGGAUAUCUUAAGCAGAAAUCUUCACACAAUAAGUUGGUUCGACUUUGAAACACUAAAGAAGGCAACCAACAAUUUUCACCAGGAUAAUCUACUUGGACGAGGAGGAUUUGGGCCAGUCUUCUUGGUAAUAAAAAUAUAAAUCUGUUUUGCAUCUUCAUUAUGUAAUCAUCAUUUCAAAAAUUUCUUAGAAUUGAGGGCAAGAUCUGUAUGGAGCCUUGGCCUUAUUGUGUAUGGUGUAAACAAACUGCGUUAAUAUUGCAUUGACUUUGUCUUCCUUCUUUUCAUAGGGAAAAUUAGAAGACGAGAGAUUGGUCGCUAUAAAGAAACUAUAUGUUGACAAAUCACAGCAAAUAGAAUCAGAAUUCCUAGCAGAGGUGAGGAUCAUCACCAGUAUACAACACAAGAACCUAGUCCACCUUCUAGGGUGUUGCUCCGAUGUAAUAAUUCUCAGUUUAAGAUGUGGUAAUUGAUUUCUUUACAUGGUUUCAUGGCUGGAUCAGUUGUGUAUUUAAAUUCUCUGAUGUGUAUUUAAAACUACAUCGUGAAUUGUUUAUUUUGGACAGAGAUCGAGACUAGUUGGGUUCGAUAUCUCUUCGAAUUAUCUAUCCAAGGGACUUGGUUUCACUUCAAUUCGAUAUGAGUUAUGUCUUA
RNAcentral lists this long non-coding RNA (2361 nucleotides) under Olea europaea subsp. europaea. The record is from RNAcentral. Lineage: Eukaryota; Viridiplantae; Streptophyta; Magnoliopsida; Lamiales; Oleaceae.